This 496-nucleotide ribosomal RNA is filed under the name uncultured bacterium. Its description in RNAcentral is "partial 16S ribosomal RNA". It matches the Rfam family "Bacterial small subunit ribosomal RNA", at positions 29 to 523 of the family's 1533-position model. The record is from RNAcentral.
AUUGAACGCUGGCGGCAUGCCUUACACAUGCAAGUCGAACGGUAGAGGGGGCAACCCCUUGAGAGUGGCGAACGGGUGAGUAAUGCAUCGGAACGUGCCCAGUCGUGGGGGAUAGCCCGGGGAAACCCGGAUUAAUACCGCAUACGACCUGAGGGUGAAAGCGGGGGACCGAAAGGCCUCGCGCGAUUGGAGCGGCCGAUGUCGGAUUAGGUAGUUGGUGGGGUAAAGGCCUACCAAGCCUGCGAUCCGUAGCUGGUCUGAGAGGACGACCAGCCACACUGGGACUGAGACACGGCCCAGACUCCUACGGGAGGCAGCAGUGGGGAAUUUUGGACAAUGGGCGCAAGCCUGAUCCAGCCAUGCCGCGUGCGGGAAGAAGGCCUUCGGGUUGUAAACCGCUUUUGUCAGGGAAGAAAUCUCUUGGGUUAAUACCCUGGGGGGAUGACGGUACCUGAAGAAUAAGCACCGGCUAACUACGUGCCAGCAGCCGCCGUAA